RNAcentral lists this ribosomal RNA (303 nucleotides) under uncultured Ideonella sp. RNAcentral's name for it is "bacterial SSU rRNA". It matches the Rfam family "Bacterial small subunit ribosomal RNA", at positions 136 to 441 of the family's 1533-position model. Lineage: Bacteria; Pseudomonadati; Pseudomonadota; Betaproteobacteria; Burkholderiales; Sphaerotilaceae. The record is from RNAcentral.
AUGGGGGAUAACCCGGCGAAAGCCGGACUAAUACCGCAUACGACCUACGGGUGAAAGCGGGGGAUCGCAAGACCUCGCGCUAUUGGAGCGGCCGAUGGCAGAUUAGCUAGUUGGUGGGGUAAAAGCCUACCAAGGCGACGAUCUGUAGCUGGUCUGAGAGGACGACCAGCCACACUGGGACUGAGACACGGCCCAGACUCCUACGGGAGGCAGCAGUGGGGAAUUUUGGACAAUGGGCGAAAGCCUGAUCCAGCCAUGCCGCGUGUGGGAAGAAGGCCUUCGGGUUGUAAACCACUUGUGUCA